This 410-nucleotide ribosomal RNA is filed under the name bacterium Ellin643. RNAcentral describes it as "bacterial SSU rRNA". It matches the Rfam family "Bacterial small subunit ribosomal RNA", at positions 32 to 452 of the family's 1533-position model. Lineage: Bacteria; Pseudomonadati; Acidobacteriota; Terriglobia; Terriglobales; Acidobacteriaceae. The record is from RNAcentral.
AAUCAACGCUGGCGGCGUGCCUAACACAUGCAAGUCGAACGAGAAAGUGGAGCAAUCCAUGAGUACAGUGGCGCACGGGUGAGUAACACGUGACUAACCUACCCUUGAGUGGGGGAUAACUGAGGGAAACCUUAGCUAAUACCGCAUAAUACCUACGGGUCAAAGGAGCAAUUCGCUUAAGGAGGGGGUCGCGGCCGAUUAGUUAGUUGGCGGGGUAAUGGCCCACCAAGACGAUGAUCGGUAUCCGGCCUGAGAGGGCGCACGGACACACUGGAACUGAAACACGGUCCAGACUCCUACGGGAGGCAGCAGUGGGGAAUUUUGCGCAAUGGGGGAAACCCUGACGCAGCAACGCCGCGUGGAGGAUGAAGUCCUUCGGGGCGUAAACUCCUUUCGAUCGGGACGAUAAU